UAUUGGGCAAUGGGCGCAAGCCUGACCCAGCAACGCCGCGUGAAGGAAGAAGGCUUUCGGGUUGUAAACUUCUUUUGUCAGGGACGAAGCAAGUGACGGUACCUGACGAAUAAGCCACGGCUAACUACGUGCCAGCAGCCGCGGUAAUACGUAGGUGGCAAGCGUUAUCCGGAUUUAUUGGGUGUAAAGGGUGCGUAGGCGGGCUUUUAAGUCAGCGGUAAAAAUUCGGGGCUCAACCCCGUCCGGCCGUUGAAACUGGGGGCCUUGAGUGGGCGAGAAGAAGGCGGAAUGCGUGGUGUAGCGGUGAUAUGCAUAGACAUCACGCAGAACCCCGAUUGCGAAGGUAGCCUUCCGGCGCCCUACUGACGCUGAGGCACGAAAGUGCGGGGAUCGAACAGG
This 399-nucleotide ribosomal RNA is filed under the name uncultured bacterium. Its description in RNAcentral is "bacterial SSU rRNA". It matches the Rfam family "Bacterial small subunit ribosomal RNA", at positions 362 to 776 of the family's 1533-position model. The record is from RNAcentral.